UUAAACGUGGCAAGCAAGCACCAAACAGCAAGGUGCCUGUGCAUUGUUACGGAGCAAUAAAACAUAUGCAUACAUGAAUUGAAUAUGCCUUCCUAUUUCACAAUUCCUUACAAAUUGAACAUCGUGAGUCCAAAAUUAAAACAAACAAAACCGGUAACUGAGAUGUGAUAAUAAUCCACAAGGGACAUGUCCAUAAUGCUUAACAAGCUACAUAUCUUCAACAAUUUGCUUAGAUGAUAUAAAGCGAUCUUCAUACUAUAAUGUUGCUCCUAAAUUUGAUUGAUAAUCCUGAAUUUUAGCCCUACCUUCUUCCUCAUUGAUUUAACCUGCUCAUUCUCAAAAUCAGACAAAGGAUAGUUGAAUGUAAAUGACUGAAACCAAGUUACAAGAAGACGAACAAAUUUAAAAUGCUCAGUUGCGUUCAGGUUGUAGCAUUCAACCUAAGCAAUGAUGCCAGCACGCGAAGCAAUCAAGUUGCUGAUCUAGAAAAGAAGUGAAAAGUUAACCUUUCAUGCCCCUGAUCUAGCAUGCAAAAUUGUUGCACAGGGGUCACCACCGGUAGCCAGAAGAAUUAUGUCAGCAGCCUCAUCAUCGUACUGCUCAUACAUGAGAUGUGAAAAGGUAUAGAAAUCCACAAAUUCUACUAAAAAAUCUGCAAGCACAAGCUUUUACAUGGCCAGUUACUCACUUGGAGGAAGACUGCACGAGCGAAGUCAAUGCCAAAAGAGAUGAUCACCUUGUACAGGUCCCUCUGCAACUAACUAAAAAUCUUGGAAAUAUCAUUUUUACCAGAAUUCUCAUGUACAACAGGAAGUCUCUAGUUCUUACCAGAAGGAACAUAACUGCCUUUUCAUUUCCCACUCAUGAUCGCAUAGCAGACACAGGCUCAACCAAGCUUUCUGAAAACUGCAGGAAGGAUGAGCAUAAUCAGCAAUUUCAGUCAGGCGAGCACAAAUGUAUACUUCAGUAGUAAACCACUGCCAAGAAAACAUAAUAAAUGCAUCAACCACAACCGAAUUUUGUAUUCACCAUUUUCUAUCUUCAAUUUUAAAAGAGAAUUCAUUGCCACAAUGGGAUGGGGCAUGCUUUCCUUUAACACUAUCUGACACUGCCGUACGAGAUUCUUUGGUACUAUAUAUUAAAAGACCAAUCUUAAAAUAAUAUAUGCAAAUAAAAAAGAACAAAACUAUGCAACAUGAUGUUCAAACUUCUGAACAAUAACAUUUACCAGUUCAUUUGGUCCAGAGGCCCCUCAACCAAAUGAAAACAAACAAAAUAAAUAAUUUGCACAGUGUCGUGUUCGGGAAACAUCGAGCAUGGACUCAUGUCGAGGAAAAUUAAAAGAUUGGGGGCGCAGUGGGUGAACUGAGUCGAGGAAGAUGGAUGAAUUCGACCACGUUGGUAUCCGGAGGGAACUGACCACGGGAUCUCCUGCCCUGUGUCUGUGCAGUAUAUUAAACUGGAAAAUAGAAAGAAGUAAACCAAAUGCUGCAACUGUACGUAUUUAAUAGAGUUUGUGGAAGUGUAGUUAAAAGUAGACAGCUCGCAAACUGAGCUGUACAGCUAGCUAGCCUGAAACUCAAACACUGUAUCAUCCAUCAACAACAUUAUGAAAAGAUUAAUUAAAGAUGUAAAGGGCAUAUUUGUGCACAUACCACCAACGCAGAAUCAACCAUUAGACCUCACUAUAUACCAUCCAGAUAAAUGAC
RNAcentral lists this long non-coding RNA (1709 nucleotides) under Triticum aestivum (bread wheat). RNAcentral's name for it is "long non-coding RNA (TAES_LNC006915)". Lineage: Eukaryota; Viridiplantae; Streptophyta; Magnoliopsida; Poales; Poaceae. The record is from RNAcentral.